This 66-nucleotide transfer RNA is filed under the name Maoricicada campbelli. RNAcentral describes it as "tRNA-Gln". The record is from RNAcentral. Lineage: Eukaryota; Metazoa; Arthropoda; Insecta; Hemiptera; Cicadidae. RNAcentral also lists the same sequence under 11 other names.
UAUGUUAUAGUUUAUGAAGAACAUUAAUUUUUGAUAUUAAUAGACAGUUUAAUUCUGCUAACAUAA